RNAcentral lists this small RNA (82 nucleotides) under Flavobacterium sinopsychrotolerans. RNAcentral's name for it is "Flavo-1 RNA". It matches the Rfam family "Flavo-1 RNA". Lineage: Bacteria; Pseudomonadati; Bacteroidota; Flavobacteriia; Flavobacteriales; Flavobacteriaceae. The record is from RNAcentral.
AAUUAGCCCCGAUUGAAGUGAAAAUCCUUUUUGUUCGCCUUUUCGGCGAAUAAAAAGAUUGUAACGAAAAGCGGGAAAUAGC